RNAcentral lists this ribosomal RNA (244 nucleotides) under uncultured bacterium. RNAcentral's name for it is "partial 16S ribosomal RNA". It matches the Rfam family "Bacterial small subunit ribosomal RNA", at positions 534 to 776 of the family's 1533-position model. The record is from RNAcentral.
GCUAGCGUUGUUCGGAAUUACUGGGUGUAAAGGGUUCGUAGGCGGUGCGGCAAGUCGGGAGUGAAAUCUCUGGGCUUAACCCAGAGGCUGCUUCCGAAACUGCUGUGCUUGAGUGUGGGAGAGGCGCGUGGAAUUGCAGGUGUAGCGGUGAAAUGCGUAGAUAUCUGCAGGAACACCCGUGGCGAAAGCGGCGCGCUGGACCACUACUGACGCUGAGUGAACGAAAGCUAGGGGAGCAAACAGG